This 1430-nucleotide ribosomal RNA is filed under the name Pediococcus acidilactici. RNAcentral's name for it is "bacterial SSU rRNA". It matches the Rfam family "Bacterial small subunit ribosomal RNA". The record is from RNAcentral. Lineage: Bacteria; Bacillati; Bacillota; Bacilli; Lactobacillales; Lactobacillaceae.
CAAGUCGAACGAACUUCCGUUAAUUGAUUAUGAGGUGCUUGCACUGAAUGAGAUUUUAACACGAAGUGAGUGGCGGACGGGUGAGUAACACGUGGGUAACCUGCCCAGAAGCAGGGGAUAACACCUGGAAACAGAUGCUAAUACCGUAUAACAGAGAAAACCGCCUGGUUUUCUUUUAAAAGAUGGCUCUGCUAUCACUUCUGGAUGGACCCGCGGCGCAUUAGCUAGUUGGUGAGGUAACGGCUCACCAAGGCGAUGAUGCGUAGCCGACCUGAGAGGGUAAUCGGCCACAUUGGGACUGAGACACGGCCCAGACUCCUACGGGAGGCAGCAGUAGGGAAUCUUCCACAAUGGACGCAAGUCUGAUGGAGCAACGCCGCGUGAGUGAAGAAGGGUUUCGGCUCGUAAAGCUCUGUUGUUAAAGAAGAACGUGGGUGAGAGUAACUGUUCACCCAGUGACGGUAUUUAACCAGAAAGCCACGGCUAACUACGUGCCAGCAGCCGCGGUAAUACGUAGGUGGCAAGCGUUAUCCGGAUUUAUUGGGCGUAAAGCGAGCGCAGGCGGUCUUUUAAGUCUAAUGUGAAAGCCUUCGGCUCAACCGAAGAAGUGCAUUGGAAACUGGGAGACUUGAGUGCAGAAGAGGACAGUGGAACUCCAUGUGUAGCGGUGAAAUGCGUAGAUAUAUGGAAGAACACCAGUGGCGAAGGCGGCUGUCUGGUCUGUAACUGACGCUGAGGCUCGAAAGCAUGGGUAGCGAACAGGAUUAGAUACCCUGGUAGUCCAUGCCGUAAACGAUGAUUACUAAGUGUUGGAGGGUUUCCGCCCUUCAGUGCUGCAGCUAACGCAUUAAGUAAUCCGCCUGGGGAGUACGACCGCAAGGUUGAAACUCAAAAGAAUUGACGGGGGCCCGCACAAGCGGUGGAGCAUGUGGUUUAAUUCGAAGCUACGCGAAGAACCUUACCAGGUCUUGACAUCUUCUGCCAACCUAAGAGAUUAGGCGUUCCCUUCGGGGACAGAAUGACAGGUGGUGCAUGGUUGUCGUCAGCUCGUGUCGUGAGAUGUUGGGUUAAGUCCCGCAACGAGCGCAACCCUUAUUACUAGUUGCCAGCAUUCAGUUGGGCACUCUAGUGAGACUGCCGGUGACAAACCGGAGGAAGGUGGGGACGACGUCAAAUCAUCAUGCCCCUUAUGACCUGGGCUACACACGUGCUACAAUGGAUGGUACAACGAGUCGCGAAACCGCGAGGUUUAGCUAAUCUCUUAAAACCAUUCUCAGUUCGGACUGUAGGCUGCAACUCGCCUACACGAAGUCGGAAUCGCUAGUAAUCGCGGAUCAGCAUGCCGCGGUGAAUACGUUCCCGGGCCUUGUACACACCGCCCGUCACACCAUGAGAGUUUGUAACACCCAAAGCCGGUGGGGUAACCUUUU